CUUGUCUUGGAUGACAGGAAAACAUAUUAAUAUAUCCUUUCUCUUCAGUUUAUCACAGGUUCUGACAACAGCCAUGUGAUCAAAGAUAAAGAGUCAUGGAGGUAAACAGGUACUGCUGCUGCCACACAGUUUAUACCACAGAAUGUCUUCUCUCCUGGAAUCACAGUUAACUCUCUGUCUCACCACUGCUGCACAGCAAGACUCACUUUUUAAAUCGCACAGAAAAUCUUGGAGAAGAGGUAAGCUGAAUCAUAAGACUCAAGGAAGACACCCAGCUUUGGUCAUCUUUGUGCUUAUGGAUUGAUCUGAUGCUGAAUUUCAACCUGCUGUUUAAGCUAAUUACCACCCUCCAGCAACCCCACAAGAAAGAGAACAAGGUAAUUGUUUUCAUUUUCCAAAACUACAAUGGGGCAAAACUAACCUGUACAAUUCUGGAUGAUGGUAAAUAACCCUCUUUUAUGUCAACUGAAAAUCAGUACACAGUACCUAUGUGUUGCUGUUGAUUUCUUCUGAGAGGAUUUGUUCUGAGAGGAGGAGCGUGGUGGGGGCAAGAGGUGUGGAGUUACCACACAGACCCCGGGAGUCAGGUGAAAACCCGGCCUGAAGCAAGCAGCCUGCAGACUCCUUUAUUUCAGUUGCUACAGCUGCUUAUGUAGCCAAGGCCAGCCAAUCCAGUAAAGGGGCGGUCUAUGCCCUAACCAAUCACAGCUUGUUGCCAGGCAGUUUCCAAAGCCAUCCAAUCAUGGCCUGCUGCCAGGCAGUUUCUGUUGUCAGCCGCUGUCUUGGCAUGACCUUUUCACCUCAGUGGCCAUCUUGGCAUGACCUUUUCACCUCCUCGUUCCACCACAUCUAUGCAUCUCUGGGAAUUUUGCCUCAGUUGUCCUGAGCUGGUGUUAGCCAACUACUGAGAAGCAAACCCUGUGCUCUGCUGGAUGAGAACUUCCUGACUUGCAUCUUUGAUGUGGCUCCAUGGAAAAGCUGACUAUAUGUAUACAGAAAUCUACUUUACUCUUCUCCUGAGAAUUGGGAUAAGUCCCAGAAUUAUGGUCACCAAAAAUUCCUAUGUCUCAAAGAGAAACAUAUUACAGAUCUCUGACACAUAGGGUAUCAUUGAGAUCCUAUGCAUUCCAAGAUAUUGAUUUGUAUAUCAGCUGGUGCUGAGAUUAUAUCCAAGCCUGAGAAAUCCUUAGAACACCUCGAAUAUGGUGCAUAGGACAGACCAAGUACAAUGGGAUGCAGGUGAUUUCUUGCCUGGAAUGUCAUGAUAAGCCUCUCAUAUCAUUCAAGAUGGAUCUGAGAGAUUUAAUUGCAUCUGUGGAGAGCUGAUCAAACUGGCUAUUUUAUUGAACUGAUUGAAUGACUCAGUCAGAACUCUUAGUCUGAAUGCUCUGAAUCGACAGAGCUCAUUUGAAGGAUUAUAAAAGGCAGCUUUAUAUUUCUAAGGGAGCAGCAGUAAAUAUAUUCAGCUUAGAGCCAAAUCCAAAUUGCUUAUAUGUGCAAAUGAAAAUCAAUGUUUAAAUUGCUUAUAACUUUUACUUUUUAACAUUAAAAAUGCAAAUAUAGACUCUGGCAUUUCCACUCUAAAAUUAGAUAAAAUGAAUUUAAUAUUUUAUUAUGUUCUGGAUUACAGUAUGUGUGUAUGUGUGUGUGUGUGUGUGUGUGUGUCUGCAAAAUUUUCAGAAGGUGAAAUGGAAAAGCAAGCAAAAUUGGUUGUGUUCUCAUAAGUAGGAACAGCUGAUCUGAUGUUGCACUUUUGUGGAAGAAAAUAUUGCCUCCUGCUUUGAACAAGUUUCUUGCAAAGAAUUAAAUUUUCAUUAUGUACCCAAAGUUUUAAUGAGAAAUGAUAAUUUGAAUAAAUUUAACUGUUUAAGUAUAGCA
This is a long non-coding RNA of Oryctolagus cuniculus (rabbit), 1878 nucleotides long. Lineage: Eukaryota; Metazoa; Chordata; Mammalia; Lagomorpha; Leporidae. The record is from Ensembl.